RNAcentral lists this ribosomal RNA (755 nucleotides) under uncultured Actinomyces sp. RNAcentral's name for it is "bacterial SSU rRNA". It matches the Rfam family "Bacterial small subunit ribosomal RNA", at positions 28 to 776 of the family's 1533-position model. Lineage: Bacteria; Bacillati; Actinomycetota; Actinomycetes; Actinomycetales; Actinomycetaceae. The record is from RNAcentral.
GACGAACGCNGGCGGCGUGCUUAACACAUGCAAGUCGAACGAAAAUACCAAGCUUGCUUGGUUGAUUAGUGGCGAACGGGUGAGUAACACGUGAGUAACCUGCCCCUUACUUUCCUGGAUAACUGCUCGAAAGGGUAGCUAAUACGGGAUAUUCUGACCAGCCUGCAUGGGUUGGUUUGGAAAGGUUUUUUCUGGUAAGGGAUGGGCUCGCGGCCUAUCAGCUUGUUGGUGGGGUGAUGGCCUACCAAGGCUUUGACGGGUAGCCGGCCUGAGAGGGUGGACGGUCACACUGGGACUGAGAUACGGCCCAGACUCCUACGGGAGGCAGCAGUGGGGAAUAUUGCACAAUGGGCGCAAGCCUGAUGCAGCGACGCCGCGUGAGGGAUGAAGGCCUUCGGGUUGUAAACCUCUUUCGUCAGGGAACAAGGCAUUGCCUUUUUGGUGGUGUUGAGGGUACCUGGAUAAGAAGCGCCGGCUAACUACGUGCCAGCAGCCGCGGUAAUACGUAGGGCGCAAGCGUUGUCCGGAAUUAUUGGGCGUAAAGAGCUCGUAGGCGGCUGGUCGCGUCUGUCGUGAAAACUUCCGGCUCAACCGGGGGCUUGCGGUGGGUACGGGCCGGCUAGAGUGCGGUAGGGGUAACUGGAACUCCUGGUGUAGCGGUGGAAUGCGCAGAUAUCAGGAAGAACACCGAUGGCGAAGGCAGGUUACUGGGCCGUUACUGACGCUGAGGAGCGAAAGCGUGGGGAGCGAACAGG